This 600-nucleotide long non-coding RNA is filed under the name Chinchilla lanigera (long-tailed chinchilla). Its description in RNAcentral is "lncRNA (ENSCLAG00000025188.1)". Lineage: Eukaryota; Metazoa; Chordata; Mammalia; Rodentia; Chinchillidae. The record is from RNAcentral.
GAGUGAAAAUGAUGCAUGACACCUCAGAGAUGCAGCACUGCAAACUCUGUGCCAGGCUGCUGUCCUAUUCCUCUUCCCUUCUGGCAGGAAGCAAGGAGGCCAUAUGCUGAGGUGCAGAGCCACAGAAUGGGAGCAGCUGGGAGUGUAGAGUCACUUCCUGGAGGACAGCUGCACCGGAUCACUGCCCAGAAUACAAAAAGAAAAGAAAUCUGGAACUCACCCUAGGCAACCUCUGUUCCUCUGCCCUCACUUCCCAGAGACAUUUCGUAGGUGUUGCCACCCUACUAGCCCUCCCCCCUAACCCUGCUCUCCAGAACCACCUCUCAUGGGCAGGACCUCACUGUGUUUUCUCCAAGGUCUUCCACCAUUUCCUGACUCAUCUCCCAGCCCCCAAGGUCACUGCAUACAUCCCACUCUCUAGUUUGCUAUCAUGACGAUCUCAAAAAAUAUCACUCUGACUAUAUCUUUGUCGUUUUAUGAAUUUGUAAUAACCUCCUGUCUCGGUGAUUCCUUGGUGAUAGGCAUCAGGCACAGAUUCUGCUAUAUUUAAGUAAAAAAUAAAUAAAUACAACAGGAAUUCAUGAAUUUAGUAUUUGUAGA